RNAcentral lists this ribosomal RNA (484 nucleotides) under uncultured bacterium. Its description in RNAcentral is "partial 16S ribosomal RNA". It matches the Rfam family "Bacterial small subunit ribosomal RNA", at positions 30 to 507 of the family's 1533-position model. The record is from RNAcentral.
AUUGAACGCUGGCGGCAGGCCUAACACAUGCAAGUCGAGCGGAUGAAGGGAGCUUGCUCCUGGAUUCAGCGGCGGACGGGUGAGUAAUGCCUAGGAAUCUGCCUGGUAGUGGGGGAUAACGUCCGGAAACGGGCGCUAAUACCGCAUACGUCCUGAGGGAGAAAGUGGGGGAUCUUCGGACCUCACGCUAUCAGAUGAGCCUAGGUCGGAUUAGCUAGUUGGUGGAGUAAAGGCCUACCAAGGCGACGAUCCGUAACUGGUCUGAGAGGAUGAUCAGUCACCCUGGAACUGAGACACGGUCCAGACUCCUACGGGAGGCAGCAGUGGGGAAUAUUGGACAAUGGGCGAAAGCCUGAUCCAGCCAUGCCGCGUGUGUGAAGAAGGUCUUCGGAUUGUAAAGCACUUUAAGUUGGGAGGAAGGGCAGUAAGUUAAUACCUUGCUGUUUUGACGUUACCAACAGAAUAAGCACCGGCUAACUUCGUG